Long non-coding RNA from Capra hircus (goat), 313 nucleotides. RefSeq lists it as uncharacterized. NCBI's taxonomy places the organism in Eukaryota, Metazoa, Chordata, Mammalia, Artiodactyla, Bovidae. The record is from RefSeq and is a predicted model, not a curated record. The transcript is spliced from 3 exons.
CGCGGCAUCUCGCUCCCUCUCCUCCGGAAACGUGUGCGGGCGAGGCAGCCGCCGGAUGGACCAGCAAAGGGCGUGUGUCACGGCUUCCUAAAUCCCGCGUGCUUAGCGAUAAUUAUAGCCAGUAUUUACUGAGCUCUGUGUAUUACCAGCCCCUGUGCUAAUCCUCGCAGCCGUGGGGAAGAGGAAGGACGCCCCUCGUGGGAACGGCCUCGUGUCUGUUUCACUAGACAGCGCGUGAGCUAGCACGCUGCCCAGCCCAGAAUGGGAGUUCAGCUCUAGACGCAUGGGCUUGGCUGCCCUUCAGCACGUGGGA